CAGUUUGGUCUAGUGGUAUGAUUCUCGCUUUGGGUGCGAGAGGUCACGGGUUCGAUUCCCGUAACU
This 66-nucleotide transfer RNA is filed under the name Climacostomum virens. It matches the Rfam family "tRNA". From Rfam's summary of the family: Transfer RNA (tRNA) molecules are approximately 80 nucleotides in length. Their secondary structure includes four short double-helical elements and three loops (D, anti-codon, and T loops). The record is from RNAcentral. Lineage: Eukaryota; Ciliophora; Heterotrichea; Heterotrichida; Climacostomidae.